Small nuclear RNA from Bison bison bison, 102 nucleotides. The record is from Ensembl. NCBI's taxonomy places the organism in Eukaryota, Metazoa, Chordata, Mammalia, Artiodactyla, Bovidae.
GUGCUUACUUUGGCAACAUUUACACUAAAAUUGGAAUGAUAUAGAGAAGAUUAGAAUAGCCCCUGUGUAAGGAAGCAAAUUUGUGAAGCAUUCCACAUUUUU